ACUUGCACCAUGCCACCCUGAAAGUGCCUGAUUUCUUCUGAUCUUGGAAGCUAAGAAGGGUAAGGCCUGAUAAGUACUUGGAUGGGAGACCAUCUGGGAACACUGGGUGCUGUAGGCU
Molecule: ribosomal RNA, 118 nt
Filed under: Castor canadensis (American beaver)
Lineage: Eukaryota; Metazoa; Chordata; Mammalia; Rodentia; Castoridae
Source: RNAcentral